RNAcentral lists this long non-coding RNA (1238 nucleotides) under Helianthus annuus (common sunflower). Its description in RNAcentral is "hypothetical non coding rna". Lineage: Eukaryota; Viridiplantae; Streptophyta; Magnoliopsida; Asterales; Asteraceae. The record is from RNAcentral.
UGCAUAAGAAGAAAGGGAACUGAUUCCAUGGUGGUGUAGUGUUGAAUGUGAGUUAGAUGAAAUAAAAGGUUAUUUGAUUGUGUAUUGGUUUGAGUUGGGGUGGUUUGAGAAUUCCGAUCUAGGGUUCCGCCGCCGACCUAACAAGAGGAUUAUUGAUAAGAUCAAGGAGAAAAUUCACGGCGAAGAUAGCGGAAGCAAGGAAGACUGCUGUGAAGGUGAAAGAAAUAGAAGAAAUAGAAGAAGAGAAGGAAGGUCACCACGACGAUGGCGAUUGAAGUAGUAGCAGCAACAUCUGUUAGAUCUCAACUGUCGCUCAACUGUUUUCCACUAACAACAUUGAUCUAAGCAUUUCAUCUAUUUCAUCUAUGUGGUUUAUGAGGAGUUUAGGGUUUAGUGUAUAUUCUAUUUUGAUGUAUUGUUAUUAUACAAUGCGUGUGGAUUGAGGUUUUAAAUUGGGUUUUCUGUAUACAUACAUAGACAUGGGUAAAAGUAAGAAAUUUUCAUAUGGUUUGUGUAUAUGACUUUAUGGAGUUGAUAACUUUUAAAAUCAACCAAUGGCCAUCCAUAUUGGUUAAAGAAGGUGAUAAAUUGUUGCUUUGUUGGAGUUCAUUUGAAGAAUUGAGUCGUUGCAUUGGUUAGAGAUGGUUGCUUAAUUGAAAGGUUAGACACAAUGCUUGUCGUGGAUAUCCCUAUCAUGUGUACAGCCCACAAAUGCACGACAUGUGACAAGCAUAUCUACUUGGUGGACAAACUCAUUGCUGUAAUUAUGUCUUCUGCAAAGCUUGCUUGAGAUGCCACCAUUGCAGUGACACACUCGAGCUCAGUAACUACAUCUCCUUUGAGGAUGCUCUUUGUUGCAGGCCACACUUUAAUCAGUUGUUCAAGAAAAAGAAUAGUGGUAGCUUAGACAAGAGCACACUUCAAGUCAUAGUUGAAUGCAACUGCAAAAAAAGAGCAACAAGUGCUGUGGCAGAUGCUAAGUCGGGGAAGCAGGCUGCAACUCCUGAUCCCAAGAAAAAGAAGGGAAAGUGAUUACAAUCUCUGUUUGAUUCAGUUCGAUUUCAUUUUAUGCUUUUAUUUAUUCUAUAAUAAAUAUAGUGGCGUCUUGUAAGUGCAUCCAAAUGAGUCGAUGCUGCCACAGUUGUUUUAAUAUAGAUGUUGCAAUAUCUCAAGUUGUCGGCCAGCUUGACAGCUUGACCAACGUUGAUUCUAAAGCCUAUAUUUAAGGUUAUUUUUUG